AUGCUUAACACAUGCAAGUCGAACGGUAACAGAUAAGAUGAUCUCUUCGGAGUGAAUCUUUGCUGACGAGUGGCGGACGGGUGAGUAAUGCUUGGGAAUCUGCCCAAUAGUGGGGGAAAACUCGGGGAAACCCGGGCUAAUACCGCAUAAUCUCUACGGAGGAAAGAGGGCCUCUACAUGUAAGCUCUCGCUAAUGGAUGAGCCCAAGUCAGAUUAGCUAGUUGGUAAGGUAAUGGCUUACCAAGGCUACGAUCUGUAGCUGGUCUGAGAGGAUGAUCAGCCACACUGGGACUGAGACACGGCCCAGACUCCUACGGGAGGCAGCAGUGGGGAAUAUUGCACAAUGGGCGCAAGCCUGAUGCAGCAAUGCCGCGUGUGUGAAGAAGGCUCUAGGGUUGUAAAGCACUUUCAAUAGAGAAGAAAAGCUUGAAAUUAAUACUUUCAAGCCUUGACGUAAUCUAUACAAGAAGCACCGGCUAAUUCCGUGCCAGCAGCCGCGGUAAUACGGGAGGUGCGAGCGUUAAUCGGAAUUACUGGGCGUAAAGCGAGCGUAGGCUGUUAAUUAAGUCGAAUGUGAAAUCCCCGGGCUCAACCUGGGAACUGCAUUCGAAACUAUUUAACUAGAGUAUGGGAGAGGAAAGUAGAAUUUCCGGUGUAGCGGUGAAAUGCGUAGAUAUCUGAAGGAACACCAGUGG
This 695-nucleotide ribosomal RNA is filed under the name uncultured bacterium. Its description in RNAcentral is "bacterial SSU rRNA". It matches the Rfam family "Bacterial small subunit ribosomal RNA", at positions 44 to 715 of the family's 1533-position model. The record is from RNAcentral.